Molecule: long non-coding RNA, 621 nt
Organism: Hypanus sabinus (Atlantic stingray)
Lineage: Eukaryota; Metazoa; Chordata; Chondrichthyes; Myliobatiformes; Dasyatidae
Exons: 3
Source: RefSeq, a predicted model, not a curated record
CCUGUCGUCUACUCCAAGGUGCCGUAUCUGUAUUCCUGAGAGCGAGGGUUGCCGAAUUGCUAUUUUGUUUAAACGGUUCAAAAACACUGCUGAUCCUGUCUUCUGCUUAUGAUGUGGCUGUCGAUAUGGAGAGGUCUCUUGCCUGUUCUGUUUACUCUGUGGGCUGUGUCCGGUGAUUUCCAGAAUUGCAUAGAAGAAAAAAAUUGCCUCUCUCUGGCCAGACUUGAGGAGAUACAGGUAUGUGUUGAAGGCUGCGUUCCCAACCCCAGUCGGAAAAGGGAAUAUGUGUUGGAAUAUUUCCUCUGAGGAAGACCACUGGAUGAAGAGAAGCAAAAAAAGAAGAAAAAAAAGAAGGGGAAGAGAGGAACUGAGAACGAAAUAAUUGAUUAUGACGAUUAAUAUGAAAACAAUUUUCGGCAAGAUUUUCAAAUGGACCAAGCAUUGGGCAGGGAUAUAACCUUGACAAGGGGACUGAGCUUUUUGAAAGCAUAGAGACCAGCCUCCUUGUGAUUGGAACUUAAUCAUCAAGGAUAGGAAGGAAGUCAACCCUUAGCACCAGUGAUGGAGCUGAGUGAAAAAGCUAGCUGGGUGUAAAAGAUAGGACCUGCAAAUAAAGUUUUU